RNAcentral lists this ribosomal RNA (484 nucleotides) under uncultured bacterium. Its description in RNAcentral is "partial 16S ribosomal RNA". It matches the Rfam family "Bacterial small subunit ribosomal RNA", at positions 30 to 507 of the family's 1533-position model. The record is from RNAcentral.
AUUGAACGCUGGCGGCAGGCCUAACACAUGCAAGUCGAGCGGAUGAAGGGAGCUUGCUCCUGGAUUCAGCGGCGGACGGGUGAGUAAUGCCUAGGAAUCUGCCUGGUAGUGGGGGAUAACGUCCGGAAACGGGCGCUAAUACCGCAUACGUCCUGCGGGAGAAAGUGGGGGAUCUUCGGAAUUUGCGCUAUCAGAUGAGCCUAGGUCGGAUUAGCUAGUUGGUGGGGUAAAGGCCUACUAAGGCGACGAUCCGUAACUGGUCUGAGAGGAUGAUCAGUCACGCUGGAACUGAGACACGGUCCAGACUCCUACGGGAAGCAGCAGUGGGGAAUAUUGGACAAUGGGCGAAAGCCUGAUACUGCCAUGCCGCGGGUGAGAAGAAGGUCUUCGGAUUGUAAAGCACAUUAAGUUGUGAGGAAGGGCAGUAAGUUAAUGCCUAGCUGUUUUGACGUUACCAGCAGAAUAAGCACCGGCUAACUACGUG